CUUACUGAGAGUUCCUUGGCAUUCUGUCCACCUCCUUGCUGUGAUCUUGCAGAAAGUUUCCCAAAUCUGUUGUUGUUUUGGAGCGGAGGUGGGCAUACUGCCAAUGGAGCUGUGUAGG
This 118-nucleotide microRNA precursor is filed under the name Dichanthelium oligosanthes. Its description in RNAcentral is "MIR394 microRNA precursor family". It matches the Rfam family "MIR394 microRNA precursor family". The record is from Rfam by way of RNAcentral. Lineage: Eukaryota; Viridiplantae; Streptophyta; Magnoliopsida; Poales; Poaceae.